GGUGAGGCGGCAUGUAAAUCGGUGAGACCGCAGUACCCACUAGAAAUCCUAGUCGCGUAGGGUUUUCGUUUCUCCAUCAGGGGAGUAUGAGGGAUUCGAGAAAAUAGUGGGAGCAUAUUUGUUUUAAAAGUUCCUAGAACAAAUUAAGUUCAAGUACAAAGUCUAACUAGAAUCUUUACUCUCUACAGAUCACAAUGUCAGCUUCGAACCCUUUGACCCGUAUUCU
Molecule: long non-coding RNA, 226 nt
Filed under: Phoenix dactylifera (date palm)
Lineage: Eukaryota; Viridiplantae; Streptophyta; Magnoliopsida; Arecales; Arecaceae
Description: long non-coding RNA (PDAC_LNC014895)
Source: RNAcentral